GAAGUGUGAAUGGCCUCCAGCACCAAAGACCCUCAUGGAGGGCCUGUUGUUCCUGCAAAGAGGAGGCUUGGCAUCGUUUAAAUGGGUGAAGUACGAGGCUCGCCUUCACCCUGGCCAGCUGAACCUGCUCCCCAUCAGCCGACGGGCGGUAGAUGAGGAGCAGUCCUUGCCAUUUGUCAUUCAUUUCUCAGACGGGGACAAUAGCUUAGAGAAGCAGCACAGCUGUGACACCUUCACUCUGCUGACACACAACAAUGAGUACCAGUUCCGGGUACAUGUGAGAGACCAUUCUAAGAGCACAGAAGCCAUCCAGAG
This 315-nucleotide long non-coding RNA is filed under the name Salmo salar (Atlantic salmon). RNAcentral's name for it is "lncRNA (ENSSSAG00000121743.1, ENSSSAG00020074031.1, ENSSSAG00075053666.1)". Lineage: Eukaryota; Metazoa; Chordata; Actinopteri; Salmoniformes; Salmonidae. The record is from RNAcentral.